RNAcentral lists this ribosomal RNA (2900 nucleotides) under Klebsiella pneumoniae. Its description in RNAcentral is "bacterial LSU rRNA". It matches the Rfam family "Bacterial large subunit ribosomal RNA". The record is from RNAcentral. Lineage: Bacteria; Pseudomonadati; Pseudomonadota; Gammaproteobacteria; Enterobacterales; Enterobacteriaceae.
UUAAGCGACUAAGCGUACACGGUGGAUGCCCUGGCAGUCAGAGGCGAUGAAGGACGUGCUAAUCUGCGAAAAGCGUCGGUAAGGUGAUAUGAACCGUUAUAACCGGCGAUGUCCGAAUGGGGAAACCCAGUGCAAUUCGUUGCACUAUCGUUAACUGAAUACAUAGGUUAACGAGGCGAACCGGGGGAACUGAAACAUCUAAGUACCCCGAGGAAAAGAAAUCAACCGAGAUUCCCCCAGUAGCGGCGAGCGAACGGGGAGCAGCCCAGAGUCUGAAUCAGCUUGUGUGUUAGUGGAACGGUCUGGAAAGUCCGACGGUACAGGGUGAUAGUCCCGUACACCAAAAUGCACAGGUUGUGAACUCGAAGAGUAGGGCGGGACACGUGGUAUCCUGUCUGAAUAUGGGGGGACCAUCCUCCAAGGCUAAAUACUCCUGACUGACCGAUAGUGAACCAGUACCGUGAGGGAAAGGCGAAAAGAACCCCGGCGAGGGGAGUGAAAAAGAACCUGAAACCGUGUACGUACAAGCAGUGGGAGCACCUUCGGGUGUGACUGCGUACCUUUUGUAUAAUGGGUCAGCGACUUAUAUUCUGUAGCAAGGUUAACCGUAUAGGGGAGCCGCAGGGAAACCGAGUCUUAACUGGGCGUUAAGUUGCAGGGUAUAGACCCGAAACCCGGUGAUCUAGCCAUGGGCAGGUUGAAGGUUGGGUAACACUAACUGGAGGACCGAACCGACUAAUGUUGAAAAAUUAGCGGAUGACUUGUGGCUGGGGGUGAAAGGCCAAUCAAACCGGGAGAUAGCUGGUUCUCCCCGAAAGCUAUUUAGGUAGCGCCUCGUGAACUCAUCUUCGGGGGUAGAGCACUGUUUCGGCUAGGGGGUCAUCCCGACUUACCAACCCGAUGCAAACUACGAAUACCGAAGAAUGUUAUCACGGGAGACACACGGCGGGUGCUAACGUCCGUCGUGAAGAGGGAAACAACCCAGACCGCCAGCUAAGGUCCCAAAGUCAUGGUUAAGUGGGAAACGAUGUGGGAAGGCACAGACAGCCAGGAUGUUGGCUUAGAAGCAGCCAUCAUUUAAAGAAAGCGUAAUAGCUCACUGGUCGAGUCGGCCUGCGCGGAAGAUGUAACGGGGCUAAACCAUGCACCGAAGCUGCGGCAGCGACACUAUGUGUUGUUGGGUAGGGGAGCGUUCUGUAAGCCUGCGAAGGUGUGCUGUGAGGCAUGCUGGAGGUAUCAGAAGUGCGAAUGCUGACAUAAGUAACGAUAAAGCGGGUGAAAAGCCCGCUCGCCGGAAGACCAAGGGUUCCUGUCCAACGUUAAUCGGGGCAGGGUGAGUCGACCCCUAAGGCGAGGCCGAAAGGCGUAGUCGAUGGGAAACAGGUUAAUAUUCCUGUACUUGGUGUUACUGCGAAGGGGGGACGGAGAAGGCUAUGUUAGCCGGGCGACGGUUGUCCCGGUUUAAGCAUGUAGGCUGAUUGUCCAGGCAAAUCCGGAUAAUCAAGGCUGAGGUGUGAUGACGAGGCACUACGGUGCUGAAGUAACAAAUGCCCUGCUUCCAGGAAAAGCCUCUAAGCAUCAGGUAACAUCAAAUCGUACCCCAAACCGACACAGGUGGUCAGGUAGAGAAUACCAAGGCGCUUGAGAGAACUCGGGUGAAGGAACUAGGCAAAAUGGUGCCGUAACUUCGGGAGAAGGCACGCUGGUGUGUAGGUGAAGCCCCUGCGGGUGGAGCUGAGACCAGUCGAAGAUACCAGCUGGCUGCAACUGUUUAUUAAAAACACAGCACUGUGCAAACACGAAAGUGGACGUAUACGGUGUGACGCCUGCCCGGUGCCGGAAGGUUAAUUGAUGGGGUUAUCCGUAAGGAGAAGCUCUUGAUCGAAGCCCCGGUAAACGGCGGCCGUAACUAUAACGGUCCUAAGGUAGCGAAAUUCCUUGUCGGGUAAGUUCCGACCUGCACGAAUGGCGUAAUGAUGGCCAGGCUGUCUCCACCCGAGACUCAGUGAAAUUGAACUCGCUGUGAAGAUGCAGUGUACCCGCGGCAAGACGGAAAGACCCCGUGAACCUUUACUAUAGCUUGACACUGAACAUUGAGCCUUGAUGUGUAGGAUAGGUGGGAGGCUUUGAAGCGUGGACGCCAGUCUGCGUGGAGCCAACCUUGAAAUACCACCCUUUAAUGUUUGAUGUUCUAACGUUGGCCCCUGACCGGGGUUGCGGACAGUGUCUGGUGGGUAGUUUGACUGGGGCGGUCUCCUCCCAAAGCGUAACGGAGGAGCACGAAGGUUAGCUAAUCCUGGUCGGACAUCAGGAGGUUAGUGCAAUGGCAUAAGCUAGCUUGACUGCGAGCGUGACGGCGCGAGCAGGUGCGAAAGCAGGUCAUAGUGAUCCGGUGGUUCUGAAUGGAAGGGCCAUCGCUCAACGGAUAAAAGGUACUCCGGGGAUAACAGGCUGAUACCGCCCAAGAGUUCAUAUCGACGGCGGUGUUUGGCACCUCGAUGUCGGCUCAUCACAUCCUGGGGCUGAAGUAGGUCCCAAGGGUAUGGCUGUUCGCCAUUUAAAGUGGUACGCGAGCUGGGUUUAGAACGUCGUGAGACAGUUCGGUCCCUAUCUGCCGUGGGCGCUGGAGAAUUGAGGGGGGCUGCUCCUAGUACGAGAGGACCGGAGUGGACGCAUCACUGGUGUUCGGGUUGUCAUGCCAAUGGCACUGCCCGGUAGCUAAAUGCGGAAGAGAUAAGUGCUGAAAGCAUCUAAGCACGAAACUUGCCCCGAGAUGAGUUCUCCCUGAGACUUUAAGUCUCCUGAAGGAACGUUGAAGACGACGACGUUGAUAGGCCGGGUGUGUAAGCGCAGCGAUGCGUUGAGCUAACCGGUACUAAUGAACCGUGAGGCUUAACCUU